This 449-nucleotide ribosomal RNA is filed under the name uncultured bacterium. RNAcentral's name for it is "partial 16S ribosomal RNA". It matches the Rfam family "Bacterial small subunit ribosomal RNA", at positions 29 to 523 of the family's 1533-position model. The record is from RNAcentral.
AACGAACGCUGGCGGCAUGCCUAAUACAUGCAAGUCGAACGAGAUCUUCGGAUCUAGUGGCGCACGGGUGCGUAACGCGUGGGAAUCUGCCCUUUGGUUCGGAAUAACUUUUGGAAACGGAAGCUAAUACCGGAUGAUGACGUAAGUCCAAAGAUUUAUCGCCAGAGGAUGAGCCCGCGUAGGAUUAGCUAGUUGGUGAGGUAAAGGCGCACCAAGGCUACGAUCCUUAGCUGGUCUGAGGGGAUGAUCAGCCACACUGGGACUGAGACACGGCCCAGACUCCUACGGGAGGCAGCAGUAGGGAAUAUUGGACAAUGGGCGCAAGCCUGAUCCAGCAAUGCCGCGUGAGCGAUGAAGGCCUUAGGGUUGUAAAGCUCUUUUACCCGGGAUGAUAAUGACAGUACCGGGAGAAUAAGCCCCGGCUAACUCCGUGCCAGCCGCCGCAGUAA